UUUCUGAAUUAAAAAUUAACCUGAUUUGUGUGGGAGAUCUUAGCAUGCCUGGUUUGCAAUAGUUUGGAGCUGUGCCUGAGCCAGUUAGAUCUGAAAGAAGAGAAACCCACAGCUAACCCCAGCAGUGGCCCAAUCCCGAUGUGCUGAGGAGUGCUGCUUCAACCCGGUGGGAGGCAGGUAGACCUUGGUGUGGCUGCAAAUGUGCUUUUCUUCUGAAGCAAAUUUUGGAUCAUUUCAAGUGCAUCCACACCAGGCGUCAUAGGAAAAAACGAUACUCAAUAUUUACUCCAUUAAUAGGAAUAUUAGUCAGAAGUGUUGGAUUAUUCAUGAUGAAGAAGAGCAUAAUUCUGACUAACAUCAGUGGUCACCGUUAUCCAUCGUUUGUCUUGGAACACUUGGGGUCAUUCUGGUCGCCUUGAGAUCCCGCUUGCAGUGGCUUCUUGCUGGUGAGAACAGGAAACAUAUUUUCCUUCUGCGGCUGUGACGUUUACUGCAUAAUGAAGCCACGGUGCGGGACUUGAGCUGCAAAUCACUCGAUAACUGCCCAGUUACGUGGCUGCAGGAGAGGAUCUGUGCACACACGGGAAAUGGAUUUUCUGGAGGGCGGGCUGGGAGCAGCAUCCCUGCUCCAAUGUAGAGCUGUUGGGUGGAGCAUGUGGCAAUGUUGUGGCUUUGUUUUGGUUUUGGUGAUUUUUUUUAAUACAUUUUUUUUUCAUUGGAGGGUGCCACCCACUCACUUUGAAUCUUUAUACAUAGACUAGAUGAAAUCAUACUCGGUUUUGUUGAUUUAAAUUAAGCCUGUGUAUUGGAACGUGAUGUGUAUGUACUCUGUGCUGCCCUGUGGCUGUUCUACAUGGUGCUUCUGCAAGCUUUCAAGACACAAACAGAUGUACGUGCUUUAUAGUUACGCUAUGAUGCAGUGUGAUUGCUGUGUUUCACUUCUCAGCAAGGGGAAAAAUCCCUCGUUAUUCUCAGGAACUUGUUUUU
Molecule: long non-coding RNA, 987 nt
Organism: Lagopus leucura (white-tailed ptarmigan)
Lineage: Eukaryota; Metazoa; Chordata; Aves; Galliformes; Phasianidae
Exons: 4
Source: RefSeq, a predicted model, not a curated record